GACGAACCGUGCGAACGUUGUUCGGAAUCACUGGGCUUAAAGGGCGCGUAGGCGGCUUGGCAAGUCCGGGGUGAAAGCCCCCAGCUCAACUGGGGAAGUGCCUUGGAUACUGCCAGGCUCGAGCGAGAUAGGGGUCGUGGGAACUUCCGGUGGAGCGGUGAAAUGCGUUGAUAUCGGAAGGAACGCCGGUGGCGAAAGCGCACGACUGGAUCUCUUCUGACGCUGAGGCGCGAAAGCGUGGGGAGCGAACAGG
RNAcentral lists this ribosomal RNA (253 nucleotides) under uncultured bacterium. Its description in RNAcentral is "partial 16S ribosomal RNA". It matches the Rfam family "Bacterial small subunit ribosomal RNA", at positions 524 to 776 of the family's 1533-position model. The record is from RNAcentral.